AGUGAACGCUGGCGGUAGGCCUAACACAUGCAAGUCGAACGGCAGCACAGUAAGAGCUUGCUCUUACGGGUGGCGAGUGGCGGACGGGUGAGGAAUACAUCGGAAUCUACUUUUUCGUGGGGGAAAACGUAGGGAAACUUACGCUAAUACCGCAUACGACCUACGGGUGAAAGCAGGGGAUCUUCGGACCUUGCGCGAUUGAAUGAGCCGAUGUCGGAUUAGCUAGUUGGCGGGGUAAAGGCCCACCAAGGCGACGAUCCGUAGCUGGUCUGAGAGGAUGAUCGGCCACACUGGAACUGAGACACGGUCCAGACUCCUACGGGAGGCAGCAGUGGGGAAUAUUGGACAAUGGGCGCAAGCCUGAUCCAGCCAUACCGCGUGGGUGAAGAAGGCCUUCGGGUUGUAAAGCCCUUUUGUUGGGAAAGAAAAGCAGCAGGUUAAUACCCCGCUGUUCUGACGGUACCCAAAGAAUAAGCACCGGCUAACUUCGUG
Molecule: ribosomal RNA, 492 nt
Filed under: uncultured bacterium
Lineage: Bacteria
Description: partial 16S ribosomal RNA
Rfam family: Bacterial small subunit ribosomal RNA
Source: RNAcentral